RNAcentral lists this ribosomal RNA (444 nucleotides) under uncultured bacterium. RNAcentral describes it as "partial 16S ribosomal RNA". It matches the Rfam family "Bacterial small subunit ribosomal RNA", at positions 339 to 795 of the family's 1533-position model. The record is from RNAcentral.
CUACGGGUCGCACCAGUGGGGAAUAUUGGGCAAUGGAGGAAACUCUGACCCAGCGACGCCGCGUGAGGGAUGAAGGCCUUCGGGUUGUAAACCUCUUUCAGCAGGGAAUAAGCGAAAGUGAAGGUACCUGCAGAAGAAGCACCGGCUAACUAUGUGCCAGCAGCCGCGGUAAUACAUAGGGUGCAAGCGUUGUCCGGAAUUAUUGGGCGUAAAGAGCUCGUAGGUGGUCGAUCACGUCGGAUGUGAAAUUCUGAGGCUUAACCUCGGACCUGCAUUCGAUACGGGUUGACUAGAGUGUGGUAGGGGAGACUGGAAUUCCUGGUGUAGCGGUGGAAUGCGCAGAUAUCAGGAGGAACACCGAUGGCGAAGGCAGGUCUCUGGGCCAUUACUGACACUGAGGAGCGAAAGCGUGGGGAGCGAACAGGAUUAGAUACCCGGGUAGUC